AUGGAAGCUAUUUCAAUGAAUUUUGUUAUAUGUGAGUUCGCUGUGUUAGAGUCAUGGAAAUCUGAAACCUUAGUGUAUACCAAACUCUUACAUUAUGGCCAAUUGAUCCACUUUAUUUGGAUCCUUGAAAAAAGAAAAUUAACAUGUCUUGGUGCAUAUAUGUGGCGAUCAAUGUUCAUCGUCCUUCUCAAUUUUACCUUAAUUUUGUUGUGUAUCGACAUAUUUCGAUUGGAUCAAUGUUCAUCCCAAUGGUAUGCUCAUGUCUCAAGAUAUCUAAACUUGCUCUAUGAUGCACGAGCAAGUAAGAUCAGAAUUACAAGGAUAGGCUUCCUUGCAUUUUUUUAA
Molecule: ribosomal RNA, 345 nt
Filed under: Triticum aestivum (bread wheat)
Lineage: Eukaryota; Viridiplantae; Streptophyta; Magnoliopsida; Poales; Poaceae
Description: partial small subunit ribosomal RNA
Source: RNAcentral